Cyprinus carpio (common carp) is the source of this 541-nucleotide long non-coding RNA. RefSeq lists it as uncharacterized. The transcript is spliced from 3 exons. The record is from RefSeq and is a predicted model, not a curated record. Lineage: Eukaryota; Metazoa; Chordata; Actinopteri; Cypriniformes; Cyprinidae.
GAUCUCGCGAGAGUUUCCUCGGUGGUGCGACGAGAGUCUGCGAGAUUUGCGCGUCCGCCAUCUCUUGGAGCGAGAAAAGUAGCAGAACGCGAAGCGCCUGUCAACAAGUCCGAAGAGUGAGACUCAUAAAGAAGGUCAAGCGGGGCUCAGCGCUGCCUCUUUGUACCUGUUCCCCGUCUUUUGUCAGAGAAGACUUUCAUGUGAAAGGAGACAACGGCGGGGAAUAAGCCAGACAUGUCAAACCUCAGCAAAGGGGGGACUAAAAAAGACACCAAGAUGAGGAUACGAGCCUUUCCCAUGACCAUGGACGAGAAGUAUGUCAACAACAUCUGGGACCUCUUGAAAAAUGCCAUCCAGGAGAUUCAGGAGGAAGAACAAACAGUGGGCUGAGCUUCGAGGAGCUCUACAGGAACGCCUACACCAUGGUCCUGCACAAGCACGGAGAGAAGCUCUACACGGGCCUCAGGGAGGUGGUCACAGAACAUCUCAUCAACAAAGUACGAGACGAUGUGUUAAACUCUCCUGAACAACACAACUUUCU